UGCAACGCGAAGAACCUUACCUGGUCUUGACAUCCACGGAAGUUUUCAGAGAUGAGAAUGUGCCUUCGGGAACCGUGAGACAGGUGCUGCAUGGCUGUCGUCAGCUCGUGUUGUGAAAUGUUGGGUUAAGUCCCGCAACGAGCGCAACCCUUAUCCUUUGUUGCCAGCGGUCCGGCCGGGAACUCAAAGGAGACUGCCAGUGAUAAACUGGAGGAAGGUGGGGAUGACGUCAAGUCAUCAUGGCCCUUACGACCAGGGCUACACACGUGCUACAAUGGCGCAUACAAAGAGAAGCGACCUCGCGAGAGCAAGCGGACCUCAUAAAGUGCGUCGUAGUCCGGAUUGGAGUCUGCAACUCGACUCCAUGAAGUCGGAAUCGCUAGUAAUCGUGGAUCAGAAUGCCACGGUGAAUACGUUCCCGGGCCUUGUACACACCGCCCGUCACACCAUGGGAGUGGGUUGCAAAAGAAGUAGGUAGCUUAACCUUCGGGAGGGCGCUUACCACUUUGUGAUUCAUGACUGGGGUGAAGUCGUAACAAGGUAACCGUAGGGGAACCUGCGGUUGGAUCAC
Molecule: ribosomal RNA, 571 nt
Filed under: Escherichia coli
Lineage: Bacteria; Pseudomonadati; Pseudomonadota; Gammaproteobacteria; Enterobacterales; Enterobacteriaceae
Also listed under: 1 other name
Description: bacterial SSU rRNA
Rfam family: Bacterial small subunit ribosomal RNA
Source: RNAcentral